This 261-nucleotide long non-coding RNA is filed under the name Salvia miltiorrhiza (redroot sage). RNAcentral's name for it is "long non-coding RNA (SMIL_LNC000121)". The record is from RNAcentral. Lineage: Eukaryota; Viridiplantae; Streptophyta; Magnoliopsida; Lamiales; Lamiaceae.
GAGAUAUGAGAUUUGAAAUAGUUUAGUUUGUGUAAAUUUGGGAAGUUUUGGAUUUGAGGCUUGAUUGAUGAAUUGAUGGAUGAUAUAUGCUAUUGAGAGUGUUUAUAUGAGAUUUGAUGGAUUGGAUUGAUGGUUGAAAUUGAUUAGUGAUUUUUGAUAUGAGUUAGUUUGAUGUAAUUUGUGUAAAAUUGAUUCUAUGGUUUAAUUUACUAAUUGAUUGUUUAUUUAUGCUAUUAAGUGUGCCAAUUUGAUAGAUCUAAG